GCGGACAGAAGCGGACGCAUUUUUCCAAUCUUGCCAAGAUUGGGGUCGAGGGUUCGAAUCCUUUCGCCCGCUCCA
RNAcentral lists this transfer RNA (75 nucleotides) under Sphingomonas sp. RNAcentral describes it as "tRNA-Ser". Lineage: Bacteria; Pseudomonadati; Pseudomonadota; Alphaproteobacteria; Sphingomonadales; Sphingomonadaceae. The record is from RNAcentral.